RNAcentral lists this ribosomal RNA (580 nucleotides) under uncultured bacterium. Its description in RNAcentral is "partial 16S ribosomal RNA". It matches the Rfam family "Bacterial small subunit ribosomal RNA", at positions 353 to 926 of the family's 1533-position model. The record is from RNAcentral.
GUUGGGGAAUUUUGGACAAUGGGCGAAAGCCUGAUCCAGCAAUGCCGCGUGUGUGAAGAAGGCCUUCGGGUUGUAAAGCACUUUUGUCCGGAAAGAAAUCCUUGGCUCUAAUACAGUCGGGGGAUGACGGUACCGGAAGAAUAAGCACCGGCUAACUACGUGCCAGCAGCCGCGGUAAUACGUAGGGUGCAAGCGUUAAUCGGAAUUACUGGGCGUAAAGCGUGCGCAGGCGGUUUGCUAAGACCGAUGUGAAAUCCCCGGGCUCAACCUGGGAACUGCAUUGGUGACUGGCAGGCUAGAGUAUGGCAGAGGGGGGUAGAAUUCCACGUGUAGCAGUGAAAUGCGUAGAGAUGUGGAGGAAUACCGAUGGCGAAGGCAGCCCCCUGGGCCAAUACUGACGCUCAUGCACGAAAGCGUGGGGAGCAAACAGGAUUAGAUACCCUGGUAGUCCACGCCCUAAACGAUGUCAACUAGUUGUUGGGGAUUCAUUUCCUUAGUAACGUAGCUAACGCGUGAAGUUGACCGCCUGGGGAGUACGGUCGCAAGAUUAAAACUUAAAUGAAUUGACGGGGUCAUAGCU